Molecule: ribosomal RNA, 466 nt
Filed under: uncultured bacterium
Lineage: Bacteria
Description: partial 16S ribosomal RNA
Rfam family: Bacterial small subunit ribosomal RNA
Source: RNAcentral
GAUGAACGCUGGCGGCGUGCUUAACACAUGCAAGUCGAACGGUGAAGCCAAGCUUGCUUGGUGGAUCAGUGGCGAACGGGUGAGUAACACGUGAGCAACCUGCCCUGGACUCUGGGAUAAGCGCUGGAAACGGCGUCUAAUACUGGAUAUGAGCCUCUUCUGCAUGGUGGGGGUUGGAAAGAUUUUUUGGUCUGGGAUGGGCUCGCGGCCUAUCAGCUUGUUGGUGAGGUAAUGGCUCACCAAGGCGUCGACGGGUAGCCGGCCUGAGAGGGUGACCGGCCACACUGGGACUGAGACACGGCCCAGACUCCUACGGGAGGCAGCAGUGGGGAAUAUUGCACAAUGGGCGAAAGCCUGAUGCAGCAACGCCGCGUGAGGGAUGACGGCCUUCGGGUUGUAAACCUCUUUUAGCAGGGAAGAAGCGAAAGUGACGGUACCUGCAGAAAAAGCGCCGGCUAACUACGUG